AAUAUUGGACAAUGGGCGAAAGCCUGAUCCAGCCAUGCCGUGUGUGUGAAGAAGGUCUUCGGAUUGUAAAGCACUUUAAGUUGGGAGGAAGGGCAGUAAGGUAAUACCUUGCUGGUUUGACGUUACCGACAGAAAAAGCACCGGCUAACUUCGUGUCAUGAGCCGCGGUAAUACGAAGGGCGGAAGCGAUACUCGGAAUUACUGGGCGUAAAGCGCGGGUGGGUGGUUUGUUAAGUUGGAAGGGAAAGCCCCGGGCGAAACUUGGGGACUGAUUUCAAAACUGGCAAGCUAGAGUAUAGCAGAGGGUGGUGGAAUUUCCUGUGUAGCGGUGGAAUGCGUAGAUAUAGGAAGGAAAGCAAGUGGCGAAGGCAACCACCUGGGCUAAUACUGACACUGAGGUGCGAAAGCGUGGGGAGCAAACA
RNAcentral lists this ribosomal RNA (422 nucleotides) under uncultured bacterium. RNAcentral describes it as "partial 16S ribosomal RNA". It matches the Rfam family "Bacterial small subunit ribosomal RNA", at positions 360 to 774 of the family's 1533-position model. The record is from RNAcentral.